CCACAGCUCUUAGUAGUAAAGAAUAGGUCAAUGAAGACUCAACCAGGCCAAAGACGUCUAAAGGUCAAAUCACGGCAACUGGACCAAGUUUUGUUAAUCUGAGACAUUUCUCUGCUCAUCCAAGCAACUUCAUCAGUCAGAAAAAAAUUAGGCAGGGAGUCAAAAAGUCAUUGGAAUGUACCAACUCUUGACACGCCAACUUCAGGGAUUUCUCCACAAAUGUAUUGCAAUAUGUCAAUGAAGACUCAAUCAUGCAGAUCAAAGGUGUUUAAAGCCCAAAAGAAAAAGGAAAUAGUACCUUCUAUCUCAUCAGAUGAUGACCUCUCCCAUCAGGAUGUCACACUGUACCUAACUAAACGAAAACAAAAUUGGCUUCAGCCAUUGUGAAGUCAUGUGGAAUUUCAUAUACGGUAGUAAGUUCUGGUGAAACAGCACAGGAUCAGCAAGGAACAUUCUCUCUAUUCAGUUCCUGGUAGGCUACCCAUCGAAGUGAAUAAAGCUUUUUCUAACCCCAAACCAA
Molecule: long non-coding RNA, 520 nt
Organism: Pantherophis guttatus
Lineage: Eukaryota; Metazoa; Chordata; Lepidosauria; Squamata; Colubridae
Source: RefSeq, a predicted model, not a curated record